UACGGGGGGGGCAAGCGUUGUUCGGAAUUACUGGGCGUAAAGGGCGCGUAGGCGGCCAUCUAAGUCAGACGUGAAAUCCCUCGGCUCAACCGAGGAACGUCGAUCGAUACUGCUGUUCUUGAGGAUUGCAGAGGAGACUGGAAUUCCCGGUGUAGCAGUGAAAUGCGUAGAUAUCAGGAGGAAUACCGAUGGCGAAGGCAGGUCUCUGGGCUGACACUGACGCUCAUGCACGAAAGCGUGGGGAGCAAACAGG
RNAcentral lists this ribosomal RNA (253 nucleotides) under uncultured bacterium. RNAcentral's name for it is "partial 16S ribosomal RNA". It matches the Rfam family "Bacterial small subunit ribosomal RNA", at positions 524 to 776 of the family's 1533-position model. The record is from RNAcentral.